This 72-nucleotide ribosomal RNA is filed under the name Brugia malayi. Its description in RNAcentral is "Eukaryotic small subunit ribosomal RNA". It matches the Rfam family "Eukaryotic small subunit ribosomal RNA", at positions 1 to 72 of the family's 1831-position model. The record is from RNAcentral. Lineage: Eukaryota; Metazoa; Nematoda; Chromadorea; Rhabditida; Onchocercidae.
UCCCCGAUUGAUUCUGUCGGCGGUUAUAUGCUUGUCUCAAAGGCUAAGCCAUGCAUGUCUAAGUUCAAAUAA